GAUUUCUGGUCUGAUGCGCCUGGCCGACUGGGGUAACCCAGCCAGUGUCGGUGUGUGUCUGCCAUCUUGCUAGUUAACCAGCUGCACUUAAAUGGGCGGUUGGCGAUCUAGCUCUUUUACUUUGAAAAAAUUAGAGUGUUUAAAGCAGGCUUGCGCUAUGAAUACAUUAGCAUGGAAUAAUAAUUUAGGACUUUAUUUCUAUUUUAUUGGUUUCUAGAGAUAAAGUAAUGAUUGAUAGGGAUAGUUGGGGGUGCUAGUAUUCACCGGCCAGAGGUGAAAUUCUUGGAUUCGGUGAAGACUAACUUAUGCGAAAGCAUU
RNAcentral lists this ribosomal RNA (318 nucleotides) under uncultured Tremula. Its description in RNAcentral is "SSU rRNA". The stretch from base 58 to 318 matches the Rfam family "Eukaryotic small subunit ribosomal RNA", at positions 693 to 955 of the family's 1831-position model. The record is from RNAcentral. Lineage: Eukaryota; Cercozoa.